GACGAACGCUGGCGGCGUGCUUAACACGUGCAAGUCGAACGAUGAUGAUGGAGCUUGCUCCAGUUGAUUAGUGGCGAACGGGGGAGUAACACGUGAGAAAUCUGCCCUUGUCUCUGGGAUAACUGCGGGAAACUGUAGCUAAUAACGGAUACUUUAACCGGAAGGCAUCGUCUGGUGACGAAAGAAUUUCGGUCAUGGAUGAGCUAGAGGCCUCUCAGCUUGUUGGAGAGGUAACGGCUCACCAAGGCGAAGACGGGUAACCGGCCUGAGAGGGUAACCGGUCACACUGGGACGGAGACUCGGCCCAGACUCCUGCGGGAGGCAGCAGUGAGGAAUAUUGCACAAUGGGCGCAAGCCUGAUGCAGCAACGCCGUGUGAGGGAUGGAGGCCUUCGGGUUGUAAACCUCUUUUAGCAGGGAAGAAGCGAAAGUGACGGUACCUGCAGAAAAAGCACCGGCUAACUACGUGCCAGCAGCCGCCGUAA
Molecule: ribosomal RNA, 484 nt
Filed under: uncultured bacterium
Lineage: Bacteria
Description: partial 16S ribosomal RNA
Rfam family: Bacterial small subunit ribosomal RNA
Source: RNAcentral